Molecule: long non-coding RNA, 5014 nt
Filed under: Salmo salar (Atlantic salmon)
Lineage: Eukaryota; Metazoa; Chordata; Actinopteri; Salmoniformes; Salmonidae
Description: lncRNA (ENSSSAG00000098554.1)
Source: RNAcentral
UAGGGUUCUGUGGAGAAAAGCAUUUACAGUCACUGGUGUGCGUGGCCGAAGAGCUCUAUUUUCACGUCAUCUGACUAUAGCAGCGGUUCCUGGCCAUGUGCCAUUGCCGUUUAUCAAACUUAGCCUAGGCAGCUGAUAGUGGGUGCUAGAUCUGCACUAUUGUUUAUGAUUGAUGCGCAUAGCAGGUAAUACUCUCCUGUCCCCUGUGGACCAGCUUGUACAUAAAGCAUCUUCCAUUCAGGCAGCAAGGUAUGAUUUUCCACUUUAACUAGCUUAAAAUGACGGGCCGUCUGAAAAACAAAUGUGUACUGUCUUAAUAAAACACCAUCUUCCACCACUGCUGUACACCUUUAGCUGAACGUGGUGUGCAACAUCCUAAGUUAUCAGAAAAUGGUUGUGGACAUUUUUGUUUUAUUAAGACAGCACACAUUUCUCUUCAGAUGGCGCGCCAUUAAAGCUAGUUAAAGAGGAAAGUAAUGCCUUUGCAGCCUGAAUGGAGGAUACUAUAUUUACCAGCCGGUCCACAAGGGACACUAGUGUAUUACUGGCUAGGCACAUCAAUCCUAAACGAUAGCGCAGAUCUAGCGCCCACUAUCCUGGCAACGAAUGUUCCGCCCUCACAGGCCCCUGAGCCUAAGUAAGGAUAUGAUUGGAAUGGAAUAUUGUCUUUUAAAGACAAAGAAGUGGGAAGUAAUAAAACUUUUCAUGAUGUAGUCCACCCUAAAACCCCACCAAAGAAGAAGAAGCUCAUGGAGAUCUCCAAGAACAGCGGUUCCCAAACUAGCGGUUGCAACCCCAUGUGAUAUGAAAAUGGGGUUGCAGGAGAAUUGUCAAAAUCCUGGUAAAAAAAAAUGUAUGUAAUAAUAAUAAUAUUGUAACAUCGUCUUUGUCUCUCAAAAUCAUUGUAAUGUGGUUAAUCUUAAAAAUCUAAAUGAAAAUCCUUCAAAUCUUAAAUCGUGGGAAAAGGCAGCACUUGACUGUUGGACUUGAAUCAUUCACAUGAUGAAUGGCUAAGCCCGCUACGCUAGCAAACCACACACUAUUGCAGAGACUUUCAUAUUACCAGCCGCAAUUGAUAUGGUGAAAACAAUGUGUCGGGAGGCACCGAAACUCACAUCAAUACCUAAAAAAUUGGACUGAACAACUCCGAAACUCCCCACCUUAUGCUCUCCAAAUGGACGUUAGCUGUGAGGGCUGGGAUGCAUUGACCUUUGUUCGCUGUAUGUCGGGGGAUAUAAUUCAGUGGGACAUCAUUUUCUGUCUCACGAUUCCCGAGCAUGAAACAGCACAGGGGAUGUUCAGUGUGCUGCGUGGCUAUAUUGACGAAAAACAGAUUCCACGGGAUCGAAUGGUGGGCUUUUGCACAGAUGGGGCUUAUUCUAUCACGGGUACGGCGGGCAGGCCUCUGCACUCUAAUUACGAAUACGUCUCCCUCUGCCAUAUGGACACAUUAUAUGAUACACCCACUGAGCUAUAAUGGAUACACCGAGAGCAACUGGCGGCAAAAAAAGCUGAGCGCAGAACUCAGAGAUAUGCAGCAGGUUGGAUGUGACAGGAGAGAUGAGGUGCGCACUGUCGACCACACCCCUUGACUUAGAGAAGCUCCGACGCGACAAGCAUCAAGGACACCUUAUUAGUGAUGGUGUCACCCAUCUUCCCCAUUAUCCCAUGUGUAUUUAUACCUGUGUUCUCUGUUUGUCUGUUGCCUGUUUAUUUUGUUUCCCCUUGUGCCUGCCUUGUCUAUUUUCCUGUUUUCUAGUUUUCCCGGUUUUGUCCUUUCUGCCUGCCCUGACCCUGAGCCUGCCUGCCAUCCUGUACCUUUGCCCUCUACUCUGGAUUACCAACCUCUACCUGCCCUGAGCCUGCCUGCUGUCCGGUACCUUUGCCCCACUACUCUGGAUUACCGACCUCUGCCUGACCUGAGCCUGCCUGCCGUCCUGUACCUUUGCCUGCCCAUGUUCGAAUUAAUAAACUUUUGUUACUUCGACAUUAUCUGCACCUGGGUCUUACCUUCAAACGUGAGACAAUCCCUGUCCUAGAAUAAGAGUUUCAAGGGAACUGUGGCUGCGUCCAGCCCACAGGCCAGGUUUAUGCUCACUCUCUGGUCACUCUCUGGUCACUCUCUGGUAUUUAGUACAAAGUUUUGGACUUUUGCUCUUUGGAGAACAACAAGAAAAUAAAAAAAAACAUGCAGCUAAAGGCAUUAAACAAUUUCUCUGAUAGAAAAUGUCCUAAGUGGCAUCGAUAUUAGUCAGAAACAUUUAUUUUAUUGUCAGAAUUGACAACAAAGUGUAAAUAGGAUAAUUUAGGAUAACUGAGUUUUGUAAGUGAGUUCAUGACUUGAGAGUUGGGUUUUGAUUUUGACAAACCACUAAAACAGGAUACACAGCUGCGACGAUUGCGCUCUACCCAAUCCUACAGCAGAACACACAGUCAGUAGGCAGGUAUCCAUUGACCCAGGUAUAUUCGACAAAAGCUAAAUAAUUGCAAUGUGUAAUGGAAAUGGCAGAUACAGGAGAAAUGUUCUAUAGAUUGAAAAAAAUAUAUAUUUGUUCGAUAGGGAUGGAUUUGUCUGACUUACUUUACUGCAACAAAUAAUGAUGGAAACUGUGUUUAUCUAAUAAAUUAAUGCUGAAUAAUUUUGAAAGAAUGCCUACGCGGGGCACAUGAUGUCAUCACGUAACUAUAAAGCUCCACAUUUAGUUCUAAAUGCAACUGAAGAAAUUAGAGAGGCUCUGAAUUCAAUGAAAAAAGGGAAAUCACCUGGCCCUGAAGGCCUAUCAGUUGAAUUCUAUAGACAGUUUGGGGAGUUACUAGAAUACCCUAUUUUUAAUAUGUUUCAAGGUUGCAUUAAAAGUGGGGAAAUGGUCUCCACUAUGAAACAGGGCCUUAUUUCAUUGAUUCCGAAGCCCGAUAAAGACCCUUCGCUCAUUGACCAUUGGAGACCAAUUACUUGAUUAAAUAUUGAUUACAAAUUGAUUGCUCUGGUUUAUGCCAAAAGAUUAAAGAAAGGAAUAGAUACCAUUAUAAAUGAGACUCAAACAGGAUUUAUGAAGGGCCGUCACAUAAGCUCUAACAUUCGUUUAGUCUCGGACCUUAUAGAUUAUUCAGAUGCAAUUGACUCAGAUGCGGUUGUCUUAUUUCUGGACUUCUGUAAUGCCUUUGACACAAUUGAACAUGAAUUUCUCUUCAGGUCACUUAAACUUUUUGGAUUCAGUGAAAUUGUUAUCAAAGUCAUUCGCAUGUUUUACAAAGAUAUAAAUAGUUCUGUGUUACUAAACCUUAAUACUUCCAAAAGAUUCAGUAUCAACAGAAGUGUACGACAGGGAUGCCCAAUUUCGCCAUUUUUAUUCAUUUUGGUUGUGGAACUUCUAUCUCUAGAUAUUCUUAAUAAUGCAAAUUUGUAUGGCUUAACCAUUUUUAACAAAGAAAUCACAAUUUCUCAACUGGCUGAUGAUACAACUCUUUUUUUUAAGAGACAAAGACCAGGUUGCCCUUAAUGCUAUAACUGCAUUUUCUAUUGCAUCAGGAUUAAAACUGAAUGUUUCUAAAUGUGAAAUCUUAUGUUUAUUUGACUCUGAUGAUAAAGAAAUAGAAAAUAUUCCUGUAAAGGACUGUGUUAAAUAUUUAGAAAUACAUCUGUCAAAAAAACACUUAGUCAGACAACAUAUGAAUUUCUCUCCUAAAAUUAAGAAAACCAAAAAUAUAUUUAAUAAUUGGCUACAAAGAGAUCUUUCUAUACUUGGGAGAGUACUUCUGUCCAAGGCAGAGGGACUGUCUCGUUUUGUGUACCCCUCAUUAUCUUUAUUUGUAAAUCCUUCUACUUGUAAAGAGAUCAAUAAGACCUUUCUUGACUUCAUCUGGAAAAAUAAGUCUCACAAACUAAAAAAGUCAGUCCUUUCUAAUAAAAGAGCUGAAGGCGGUCUGGAAGUGUUGGAUUUUGUUGACAUAAAUAACUCUUUCAAGAUCAACUGGUUGAAAAGAUGAUUGAUCAAUACUAAUUCAAUAUGGUAUUUCAUUCCAAAUAAUGUGUUUAAUACAUUGGGAGGUCUUCAAUUUUUACUGAAAUGUAAUUAUAUUCCUGAAAGAUUACCCGCUAAAUUGGCUAGGUUUCACCAACAAGCUUUAAUGGCCUGGAAAAUAUGUUUCCUGCACAAUUCUUCCCCACAUAAAGAUCGUUUGUGGAAUAAUUCAGACAUAACUGUAAGGAAUAAGUCAUUGUUCUACCCCAGCUGGCAUGAGAGGAAUAUUGACUUUGUUCUUAAUGUUUUCGACAACAGGGGCAAUAUUCUUACAUAUGAAUAAUUUAUAACAUUGAAAGAGUUUCCAAUACCUUUCAGAGAGUGAUCAAAGCCAUUCCCAGUGGUCUAACUACACUAAUGAAAACUCAUCUUAGCUUUAGUAAUGAUCACAAAGCUUAUCCAGAACUCAGAUGGAAGGUGUGGGCUUACUUGAGAGAUCUAGUUGUAAUAAAUAUAAAAGACAAAUUCACUAUUCACAAAACCAACUAACACUGAGAGGAACAUUUUUCUCGAACAUGCUUAUUGCUGACAUUGUCUGGAAAAUGCAUGGUUAAGGCCUUACAAAUAUUGUAUACCAAACAAAGUUACGGAAGUGCACUUUAAAAUUUUACAUAAGACAUAUCCAUGUAAUUUUAUGUUAUCCAAAUUUGUGGCUAUUGAUGAUAUCUGCGUUUUCUGUGAAAAAGAAGGUGAAAAUAUAUCUCACUUGUUCUUUGAAAAAAUUUGUGUCAGAAGUUUGGGAAAACCUUGCAAAAUACAUAUUUACCAUUAUGAACACCACCCAUGUUUUGACAUGAAGAAUAUAAUAUGCUACUAUUGCAAUGAUAACAAGACCAUUGAAAUUAUUGUGAAUGUUUUUAUUCUUGUUACAAAAUACUUUAUACACAAACAAAAAUUCCAAAAUUCUAUACCAAAAUAACACAUAUUUCUGAUUGAAUUUAACUAUCUUAUUAAAACAUUAACCCUAGUGAAUAACAAUAAGAAUAACAUUU